GAUGGUGGAGGUGGUGUCGGCGUCCUUGGCCGUUUCUUUUGCCGGCGAUAUGUCUGGACGGCCGGUGAUUCGGUGCGUCCUGAUGCUGUUCCCGUAGCCGGUGGCGUUUCGGUGCUGGUGUGGACUGGUGGUGCGUCCCAUGCUUCGUCAUCACUGUCAGAGGGACUGGGUGGUCUCGGUAGCCCUAAUUUCUUCCACAUGAAUGGUCCGCCGGUGGCCUUCAUCUUGAUUCGGACCAUGGUGGUCUUGAGUUUGCCGGUGGGUGAGUGGUGGUUGGAGAAGAAAAUCUUGAAGAAGAAGAGAUGAAAACAGUAAAUUGCGUAAAAAGUAAAAAAAAUAAGAGAAAAUAUACUUAAAGUGAUUUGGGUAGGUGAACUGCCC
This 381-nucleotide long non-coding RNA is filed under the name Manihot esculenta (cassava). RNAcentral describes it as "long non-coding RNA (MESC_LNC002396)". Lineage: Eukaryota; Viridiplantae; Streptophyta; Magnoliopsida; Malpighiales; Euphorbiaceae. The record is from RNAcentral.